This 253-nucleotide ribosomal RNA is filed under the name uncultured bacterium. RNAcentral's name for it is "partial 16S ribosomal RNA". It matches the Rfam family "Bacterial small subunit ribosomal RNA", at positions 524 to 776 of the family's 1533-position model. The record is from RNAcentral.
UACGUAGGGGGCAAGCGUUGUCCGGAAUCAUUGGGCGUAAAGAGCGUGUAGGCGGCCCGAUAAGUCCGCCGUGAAAGCCCAGGGCUCAACCCUGGAAUGCCGGUGGAAACUGUCGGGCUGGAGUCCGGAAGAGGCGAGUGGAAUUCCUGGUGUAGCGGUGGAAUGCGCAGAUAUCAGGAGGAACACCAAUAGCGAAGGCAGCUCGCUGGGACGGUAUUGACGCUAAGGCGCGAAAGCGUGGGGAGCAAACAGG